CCCUGUCAAACAGCCUUGUUCUGAGGGCAUAGUAACCACAGACAAGCUCCACCCUUCAGCAGUACAGCAACCUUGAAACUUCAUUCUUAAAAAAGGGACUGCAUGGGAUGAUUUUGGUUUCUACAACAGUUACCUUCAUUGUACACAUUUUCUUUUGUACACAGGUUUCUAAAUCCAGCUGUUUCCUGAGUUUUACCGCAGCCACGGAGAGGCGUGCAGGCUAAUACAACUGGGCAGGCCCUGACGAGCAGGAUGGAUUCCAGCAUUCAUACACUGCAGAGGUGCCUGGAGAACAUUUACAAGGUGAUCAGAAAGGCUAAUGAUAUGCUAUGCGGAAUCAGCCAUCCCUCUGUCUGCACUGAGGUGCUGCUCUCUGCUCAAGGGAAGACCUACAUCUCAGGUGUAGUUGAGGUUUACAAAGUGUCUAAGAGAGUGGAAGGAGGCAUGAGAACCCGUGGCGUCACAAACGAAGCUCUCCAACGCAGUGUCAAGGACAUUGAGUUACUGUGGAAUAAUCUACAGGCGUUCCUAACAUUCAGCCCCGCUGUAUUACAAACGCUGGGUAUUCAUUCAGAAAAUGAGGAUCCUUAUGUGCUGAUCAUGUCCAUACUUCCGUCUGUCUGGCUGUCACUUGGUGAACAUGAUAACUGCCUUGAUUUUACAACAAGCUUCAUCAAACCAUGGCAACAUUUGUCUUAUUCUGGGAUAACAGUGCUUCUUGUAGUAAAGGUUAAUGUUGAUGGUCUGAUGCACGCUUUACAAAGUUAAAGAAAAAAAAAUCUCAAGUUUAAGGUGGUUUGCUACAGUUUAUGCUAUUCUUGGAAAUGUUUUCAUGUUUUUACAGUGUAGUAAAGUCAUGUACAUUAAAAACAAGUAACUAACACACAUCCCCCACUACUAUUGUAAAUUCUAAACAUAUAGAAUGGUAUAGGCUAGGAAUUAGCAAUUAAAUGUUUAAUCACAAUUACAUACUGUAAGUGGAUCUGUGCAAAAAUAUAUGCAAACAAUGUGACAUACAGAUGGAAGGAUUUACAGACAGACAUCUCACUAUAUCACCAGAAUCUGAUACUGUCAGAAAUAUAUGCUGCAUAAUGUUAAUACUAACUUUCAUGGUAACUGGAUCAGCUUUUCUCCAGAUAUAUGCCAAAAUUGAAGUGUGGCUUAGGUACGGACGCAUACAUAUACAACCUCCUUCACUAUAUCUUCAGAGGAAGAUAAGUCAAAAUAAGGAAAAUAAGGAAAAAUAUACUUUAUUUUCUAUUAUUGUCAGUAGGAAAAUGUCACAAUUCGUGUACAUGUAGUAAAGACAACUUGAACAUGUUCAUUCCUCACAAACACAUAAAAAUCCCACAGAAGACAGUUGAACAAAGAUGCUAAGAUGUGUAUCGAUUUAUGUUUGUAAUAUGAUCUGUGUGAACCACCUUAAAGUAAAAACACAGGCUAAAAACAAAAAGAUAUGGGGUCCCUGCGUGUCUUUCCUGGUAAAUGCACGGCUGCGUGGUGUGCAGGGGGAGUCAUAGAGUCAGGGAAGCACAGGUUUACGUCCUGGCUGCGUGAAGUUGCUGGUGUUAGUUGGAGAUUUCAGAGGGAGCUCUAGUUGGCUCUGGUGCUCUCCUUGGUGCUUGGUAAGCUCAGGCUGACACCUGCAAGCCUGGCCUUUGUCCUGCUGAGGCAGGUAGAUCAUUAACAUCGCUCGAGUUUUGGGUAUAAAGAGCUCAUUGGCUUGGUCAUGGAAUUGGAGGACUUCCCUUCAGUUCCUCUGAGCUAUGUGGGGAGCUGCUGCUAUGGACUUUCUAAAGGAAUAUUCUAAAAAAUCUAUUCUAAAAUAUACCACAGCCUAAAUUACAAUCCAUAAUACAGUAUUUCAAGUUUAAAAAUGCUGUCCAACAUGUUCACACAGUAUCCCUUGCUAUGUGUUUUGCUUUACUGGACUGUAUAGCUUGUUUACAUUUAGAAAUUGCAAACGGAAAUAAGGUAAACAUUUUUUUUUUCUCCUAACUAGUUAAAACACAAGUUGUAAAAACUAUGAGAAAUGUCAUAAAGAAUACAAUUGUACAGUAUUUUUUAUGUGAAACUAAGCUUCAAAUAACAUCAGCAACACACUUUCUGAACCAAAAGUAACAUAAAUGUGUCGGUCCAGUGUGUUGUGAAAUGUCUCAGUCUGCAUUGCUUUCCAGCCCACUGAAGCCUGUCUAAAUGGGUUGGUUGAUGUACCUCAGCCCGAUCUCCAAUAUGAAUGCUGUGGGGUUUGUCAAUCACAAGUGUCCAUGGAAACAAAGGUUGCUUCAGACAAAGACAUCCUGAGCUACAAUGAAUGCCGCUACCAUACAAGCUGUGCCAACUUCUGGUUGAAUUGUGUAGAUCUAAACCUACCAUUCAGCCCAGCACAGAAACAGGGUUGAGUCAUGUAUUAUUUUAAAUGAUGUAUAUUAUUUGUUGUGAAUAUCCAGUUUCUUAAUUGCUGCCCAACCAGUGCCAACAAAUAUCCAGUGACAAAAAAGGACUAAAUGAUUGUAACCCACUUAAUAUCACUCUUGCUAAUGUCACUCUCCUCUUAUUAAUCACCAUUGUAACAUAUCUGUAAUUAAAUGUCCGAAAUAUAACUUAUAAUGGCACAGUGCAGUAUACAGAACACUGCAAUGUGUAUAUUCAGGAUUUCUUUAGUUUUUACAUGUACAGUACAGUAGACUAUUAAAAAAAGUUUUUGACAUGUAUGUAUGUAUGUAUGCACACUAUUGUAAUCAAUGCAAUAAUGAGUAGAAUUAUUUGUUGUUUGAACACUUCUGUGUUGUAAUGCUUAUAUAUUAACAGUAAGCGACCACUUAGUUAAGGUGACCUUAAAUACAGGUUUUACUAUAUUGGAUUAAAAAAAAAACAAAAAAAAAAAAACAUUACUGGUAGGAAUU
RNA transcript from Polyodon spathula (Mississippi paddlefish), 2906 nucleotides. It is a transcript of the gene named synergin gamma-like, with no coding region annotated. The transcript is spliced from 6 exons. The record is from RefSeq and is a predicted model, not a curated record. Lineage: Eukaryota; Metazoa; Chordata; Actinopteri; Acipenseriformes; Polyodontidae.